AUCAGUGUGGUGUAGUGGUUUGAACAUUGGACUAUGACUCUGGAGGCCAGGGUUCAAAUCCCAGGUCAGGUG
This is a non-coding RNA of Phrynosoma platyrhinos (Desert horned lizard), 72 nucleotides long. NCBI's taxonomy places the organism in Eukaryota, Metazoa, Chordata, Lepidosauria, Squamata, Phrynosomatidae. The record is from the annotation of a GenBank genome assembly.